This 90-nucleotide transfer RNA is filed under the name Alphaproteobacteria bacterium. Its description in RNAcentral is "tRNA-Ser". It matches the Rfam family "tRNA". Rfam says of the family: Transfer RNA (tRNA) molecules are approximately 80 nucleotides in length. Their secondary structure includes four short double-helical elements and three loops (D, anti-codon, and T loops). Lineage: Bacteria; Pseudomonadati; Pseudomonadota; Alphaproteobacteria. The record is from RNAcentral.
GGACAGGUGGCCGAGCGGUUUAAGGCAGCAGUCUUGAAAACUGCCGUGCGUUCACGCGUACCGUGAGUUCGAAUCUCACCCUGUCCGCCA